RNAcentral lists this ribosomal RNA (253 nucleotides) under uncultured bacterium. RNAcentral describes it as "partial 16S ribosomal RNA". It matches the Rfam family "Bacterial small subunit ribosomal RNA", at positions 524 to 776 of the family's 1533-position model. The record is from RNAcentral.
UACAGAGGGGGCAAGCGUUAUUCGGAAUUAUUGGGCGUAAAGGGCGCGUAGGCGGCCAUUCAAGUGACGGGUGAAAGCCCUCGGCUUAACCGAGGAACUGCCUGUCAGACUGGAUGGCUUGAGACCGGGAGAGGUGAGUGGAAUUCCCAGUGUAGCGGUGAAAUGCGUAGAUAUUGGGAGGAGCACCAGUGGCGAAGGCGGCUCACUGGACCGGAACUGACGCUGAGGCGCGAAAGCGUGGGGAGCAAACAGG